Molecule: non-coding RNA, 557 nt
Organism: Taeniopygia guttata (zebra finch)
Lineage: Eukaryota; Metazoa; Chordata; Aves; Passeriformes; Estrildidae
Source: RefSeq, a predicted model, not a curated record
CAUGAGGUUUGGAAUGGCACUGAAGAGGACCAAACAUUUUAAGGACAAUGUGUCUUUCAUUUCCUAGUUUUGCUCUGUUUAAAUUUCCAAAAAUCUACUACUUACUAUACCUUACUCUAUCUGACUAACGAGGCAAAGCUUGAAGGUAAGCUACUCAAUAGAGAAAGCAGAAACAUUCUUGUCUAACAGAUGUUGCAAUGAUAAUCUCCUUCUACUCUUUCAACAUGCUGAGGUUUUAAAGUAUAUUUUUAGACAAGAUGGUCAUUUUGUUUGAAGUAGAUUAAGUUCUUUUAUGUUCUUUUCAUAUGGCAGAAUCAUGAACUGGGGAGCUUCCAGUACAGAGCAGUAGCCAAGCAGCUAAAGUAGUUUUAUUUUUGAUCACUCCAAGUGGAACCAUAAGAGCCAAGGAUUAAAAUAUGUCACAUAGGAAAUAAAUUGUUGUUAACUUGAGUUGGAGGUGCUAUGUAAUAUUUGAGCUGCACAGCCACUUUCAAGAUGGACAAGACCUCAGAGAAUUCCCAGAGUAGGAAUAUUAUUACAAAAAAAAAAAACAAAAA